Molecule: long non-coding RNA, 1085 nt
Organism: Gorilla gorilla gorilla (western lowland gorilla)
Lineage: Eukaryota; Metazoa; Chordata; Mammalia; Primates; Hominidae
Exons: 3
Source: RefSeq, a predicted model, not a curated record
AGUGGUGAAGUUGGAAUUUUUACCCAAGUCUGUUUGCUAAAUGUAUGCUCUUCAUCAUUACAUCUACAUAGGACCAGCUACAUAACUUGUAGCGCCCAGUGCAAAAUGAAAAUAGAUGAGGGGUCUUGCUAUGUUGCACAGGCUGGUCUUGAACUCUUGGCCUCAAGUGAUCCUCCCACCUUGGCCUCCCAAAGUGCUAGGAUUACAAGUGUGAGCCACCACCCCUGCCCAGGAAUCUGUGUUUUUAAAAGGUCUCCCUGCACAGAAAUGGCUUCCCAUCAUCCUAGUGGGGAUUGGAACAGAGAGUGAGGGGAAAGCAAAGAAAUGACGUGGAAUGAAAAUCUGAGACAGGCCUAAAAGGGGCAGAUUAGGGAAAUGGAGCUGGAGGGGAUUUGAGGGGCUAUAGAAAGGGAUUCUGCUUCUGCAAAUUAUCAACCAUUAGGAAUUCUUCUGCUAGCAAUUCAAAUCCUUUGUGUAAACAGGGUUAAUCUCUAGGCCUGGAAUGAGCACGAAGGGUCCAACAACUCCCUGGAAUUUUAUGUAAAAAACUGCACGUAUGUGUGUCUGUGUACUUUUGGAGGAAAGGAUCUGUUGUAGGUAGAUUUGAUGGUGAUGGCCUGUCUUACAACAAUUCUUAGAGAGGUCAUUCCCCCUUUUGAUGACAAAGCCAGCAAAGAGGUGGGGGCAUAGCUAAGCCAGUCAUCACCAUCCUGAUCACAGUGCUUGACUUGAGGGAUGAGCACCUGACUCAAGCAGGGCCAGUUAGAGUCCUUCCCUGGGACAUCUCCAACUCCACUUGGAGGAAAGAACAUACUUCCCACUUUAGCUGAUGGUGUGAGGAUUCAGCCAUGCCUUUGCCAUGUGGCAAAAGCACAUCUGUAAUGGGAGGGAAGUAAGCUGUCAAUCAGAAAAAAGCAGAGAUGAGAAUGAGAACCAGGGAGAGAGAAUAUAAGAGAUUGCUGACAGCACUCCACUGAUCCGGUUACCCCUUGGACCAGCUCCACCCAUGCCCUUUCGAAAUUUGCAUAUUUGAAUCACUAAACGGACCUUUUUGUCAAAAGCUAAUUCCACUUGGUACCUGUCAC